GGGGAAACCUGACCCGAGCAAUACUACGUGAAGGAUGAAGGUCUAAGGAUUGUAAACUUCUGUUAGCGCGAAGAAGGGCUAAGCGCGAGCUUAGUCUUGACGGUAUGCGCAGAGAAAGCAACGACUAACUAUGUGCCAGCAGUCGCGGUAAGACAUAGGUUGCGAACGUUAUCCGGAAUUAUUGGGCGUAAAGGAUGCGUAGAUGGUUUGAUAAGUUAUCAGUGGCAAAUCGGGGCUCAACCUCGUGGAAGUUGGUAAUACUGUCAUACUUGAGUGCAGGAGAAGUUAACGGAACUCUAUAUGGAGCGGUAAAAUGUGACGAUAUAUAGAAGAACACCAAUAAGGCGAAGGCAGUUAACUAUUCUGUUACUGACAUUGAGGCAUGAAAGCGUGGGGAGCAAAACGGAUUAGAUACCCGUGUAGUCCACGCCCUAAACGAUGAGUGCUAGAUAUUGGGAACUAGAUUCUCAGUGUCACUAGUUAACACGGUAAGCACUCCGCCUGGGUAGUACGAUCGCAAGGUUGAAACUCAAAGGAAUUGACGGGGACUCGCACAAGCAGUGGAGCAUGUGGUUUAAUCCGAUACAACGCGUAGAACCUUACCAAGGCUUGACAUGUUGGGCAAAGCUAGGGAAACCUAGUAGAGGUUAUCCUAACACAGGUGCUGCAUGGCCGUCGUCAGUUCGUGCCGUGAGGUGUAUGGUUAGUCCUAUAACGAACGCAACCCUUGUGCUUAGUUGCCAGCAUUAAGUUGGGGACUCUAAGCAGACUGCCGGGGUAACCUGGAGGAAGGAAAGGAUGACGUCUGGUCGUCAUGGCCCUUAUGCCUUGGGCGACACACGUGCUACAAUGGUUAGGACAAAGGGUUGCCAACCCGUGAGGGGGAGCUAAUCUCAAAAAACUAACCUCAGUUCGGAUUGGAGGCUGCAACUCGCCUCCAUGAAGUCGGAAUUGCUAGUAAUCGCAAAUCAGCCAUGUCGCGGUGAAUACGUUCCCGGG
RNAcentral lists this ribosomal RNA (999 nucleotides) under uncultured bacterium. RNAcentral describes it as "bacterial SSU rRNA". It matches the Rfam family "Bacterial small subunit ribosomal RNA", at positions 374 to 1378 of the family's 1533-position model. The record is from RNAcentral.